Molecule: ribosomal RNA, 3123 nt
Filed under: Triticum aestivum (bread wheat)
Lineage: Eukaryota; Viridiplantae; Streptophyta; Magnoliopsida; Poales; Poaceae
Description: partial small subunit ribosomal RNA
Source: RNAcentral
AUGGAGAUGAAACCCAAAAGAUUUUCGUUGGGGCGUAACCCUCUCAGCGACGCGCCACAUCGGAACCCGGGUGUGGUGGAAAAUGGGCAAGGGUCGGGCCGUCACCCCCCAAGUGGCACGCCAUAUCUUGAUCCGGAUACGGUGGCAAGUGAGCGAGGAUCGGGUCGUCGCAUCCUUAGUGGCGCGCUACAUCGGCGCCCGGAUGUAGUGGAAAAUGAUCAAGGGUCUUCGCAUUUGACUCGACGAGUGCGAAGGGUAAGGAAGCUAGCCGAGCCUAGGAGGAUUCGCUUAGGUAGCUGGAACGUAGGGUCUCCGACAGGGAAGCUUCGGGAGCUAGUUGAUGCAGCAGUGAGGAGAGGUGUUGAUAUUCUUUGCGUCCAAGAAACCAAAUGGAGAGGACAGAAGGCGAAGGAGGUGGAGGAUACCGGCUUCAAGCUGUGGUACACGGGGACGGCUGCAAACAGAAAUGGCGUAGGCAUCUUGAUCAACAAGAGCCUCAAGUAUGGAGUGGUAGACGUCAGGAGACGUGGGGACCGGAUUAUCCUGGUCAAGCUGGUAGCUGAGGACUUGGUUCUCAAUGUUAUCAGCGCAUAUGCCCCGCAAGUAGGCCACAAUGAGAACACCAAGAGGGAGUUCUGGGAAGGCUUGGAAGACAUGGUUAGGAGUGUACCAAUUGGUGAGAAGCUCUUCAUAGGAGGAGACCUCAAUGGCCAUGUGGGUACAUCUAACACAGGUUUUGAAGGGGCGCAUGGGGGCUUUGGCUAUGGCAUCAGGAAUCAAGAAGGAGAAGAUGUCUUAAGCUUUGCUCUAGCCUACAACAUGAUUGUAGCUAACACCCUCUUUAGAAAGAGAGAAUCACAUCUGGUGACUUUUAGUAGUGGCCAACACUCUAGCCAGAUUGAUUUCAUCCUCUCGAGAAGAGAAGAUAGGCGUGCGUGCCUAGACUGUAAGGUGAUACCUGGGGAGAGUGUUGUACCCCAGCAUAAGCUGGUGGUUGCUGACUUCCGCUUUCGGAUUCGUGUCCAGCGGGAUAAGCGUGCCAAGGUCGCUAGAACGAAGUGGUGGAAGCUCAAGGGGGAGGUAGCUCAUGUGUUCAAGGAGAGGGUAUUUAAGGAGGGCCCUUGGGAGGAAGGAGGGGAUGCGGACAAUGUGUGGAUGAAGAUGGUGACUUGCAUUCGUAAGGUGGCCUCGGAGGAGUUUGGAGUGUCCAGGGGAAGGAGAAGCGAAGAUAAGGAUACCUGGUGGUGGAAUGAUGAUGUCCAGAAGGCGCUUAAAGAGAAGAAAGAUUGCUUCAGACGCCUAUACCUGGAUAGGAGUGCAGACAACAUAGAGAAGUACAAGAUGGCGAAGAAGGCCGCAAAGCGAGCUGUUGGUGAAGCAAGGGGUCGGGCAUAUGAGGACCUCUACCAACGGUUAGGCACGAAGGAAGGUGAAAGGGACAUCUAUAAGAUGGCUAAGACCCGGGAGAGGAAGACGAGGGAUAUUGGCCAAGUCAAAUGCAUCGAGGACGGAGCAGGCCAACUCUUGGUGAAGGACGAAGAGAUUAAGCAUAGAUGGCGGGAGUACUUCGACAAGCUGUUCAAUGGGGAGAAUGAGAGUUCUACCAUUGAACUGAAUGACUCCUUUGAUGAGACCAACAUGCGUUUUGUGCGGCGCAUCCAGGAGUCUGAGGUGAAGGAGGCUUUAAAAAGGAUGAAAGGAGGCAAGGCGAUGGGCCCUGAUUGUAUCCCCAUUGAGGUGUGGAAAGGUCUCGGGGACAUAGCGAUAGUAUGGCUAACCAAGCUUUUCAACCUCAUUUUCCGGGCAAACAAGAUGCCAGAAGAAUGGAGACGGAGUAUAUUAGUACCAAUCUUCAAGAACAAGGGGGAUGUUCAGAGUUGUACUAAUUACCGUGGAAUUAAGCUGAUGAGCCAUACAAUGAAGCUAUGGGAGAGAGUCAUUGAGCACCGCUUAAGAAGAAUGACAAGCGUGACCAAAAAUCAGUUUGGUUUCAUGCCUGGGAGGUCGACCAUGGAAGCCAUUUUCUUGGUACGACAACUUAUGGAGAGAUAUAGGGAGCAUAAGAAGGACUUGCAUAUGGUGUUCAUUGACUUGGAGAAGGCCUAUGAUAAGAUACCGCGGAAUGUCAUGUGGUGGGCCUUGGAGAAACACAAAGUCCCAGCAAAGUACAUUACCCUCAUCAAGGACAUGUACAAUAAUGUUGUGACAAGUGUUCGAACAAGUGAUGUCGACAUCGAUGACUUCCCGAUUAAGAUAGGACUGCAUCAGGGGUCAGCUUUGAGCCCUUAUCUUUUUGCAUUGGUGAUGGAUGAGGUCACAAGGGGUAUACAAGGAGAUAUCCCAUGGUGUAUGCUCUUUGCGGAUGAUGUGGUGCUAGUUGACGAUAGUCGGACGGGGGUAAAUAGGAAGUUAGAGUUAUGGAGACAAACCUUGGAAUCGAAAGGGUUUAGUCUUAGUAGAACUAAAACCGAGUACAUGAUGUGCGGUUUCAGUACUACUAGCUGUGAGGAGGAGGAGGUUAGCCUUGAUGGCCAGGUGGUAUCUCGGAAGGACACCUUUCGGUAUAUGGGGUCAAUGUUGCAGGAGGAUGGGGGUAUUGAUGAAGAUGUGAACCAUCGAAUCAAAGCCGGAUGGAUGAAGUGGCGCCAAGCUUCUGGCAUUCUCUGUGACAAGAGAGUGCCACAAAAGCUAAAAGGCAAGUUCUAUAGGACGGCGGUUCGACCCGCAAUGUUGUAUGGCGCGGAGUGUUGGCCGACUAAAAGGCGACAUGUUCAACAGUUAGGUGUGGCGGAGAUGCGUAUGUUGAGAUGGAUGUGUGGCCACACGAGGAAGGAUCGAGUCCGAAAUGAUGAUAUACGAGAUAGAGUUGGGGUAGCACCAAUUGAGGAGAAGCUUGUCCAACAUCGUUUGAGAUGGUUUGGGCAUAUUCAGCGCAGGCCUCCAAAAGCUCCAGUGCAUAGCGGAUGUCUAAAGCGUGCGGAGAAUGUCAAGAGAGGGCGGGGUCGACCGAUUUUGACAUGGGAGGAGUCCGUUAAGAGAGACCUGAAGGAUUGGAGUAUCGACAAAGAGCUAGCUAUGGACAGGGGUGCGUGGAAGCUUGCUAUCCAUGUGCCAGAGCCAUGA